This 489-nucleotide ribosomal RNA is filed under the name uncultured bacterium. Its description in RNAcentral is "partial 16S ribosomal RNA". It matches the Rfam family "Bacterial small subunit ribosomal RNA", at positions 355 to 836 of the family's 1533-position model. The record is from RNAcentral.
UAGGGAAUCUUCCACAAUGGACGCAAGUCUGAUGGGGCAACGCCGCGUGAGUGAAGAAGGUUUUCGGAUCGUAAAGCUCUGUUGUUGGUGAAGAAGGAUAGAGGCAGUAACUGGUCUUUAUUUGACGGUAAUCAACCAGAAAGUCACGGCUAACUACGUGCCAGCAGCCGCGGUAAUACGUAGGUGGCAAGCGUUGUCCGGAUUUAUUGGGCGUAAAGCGAGCGCAGGCGGAAUGAUAAGUCUGAUGUGAAAGCCCACGGCUCAACCGUGGAACUGCAUCGGAAACUGUCAUUCUUGAGUGCAGAAGAGGAGAGUGGAACUCCAUGUGUAGCGGUGGAAUGCGUAGAUAUAUGGAAGAACACCAGUGGCGAAGGCGGCUCUCUGGUCUGCAACUGACGCUGAGGCUCGAAAGCAUGGGUAGCGAACAGGAUUAGAUACCCUGGUAGUCCAUGCCGUAAACGAUGAGCGCUAGGUGUUGGGGCACUUUCC